GACGAACGCUGGCGGCGUGCUUAACACAUGCAAGUCGAACGGAAAGGACCUGCUUUUGUGGGGUGCUCGAGUGGCGAACGGGUGAGUAACACGUGAGUAACCUGCCCUUGACUUUGGGAUAACUUCAGGAAACUGGGGCUACUACCGGAUAGGAGCUCCUGCUGCAUGGUGGGGGUUGGAAAGUUUCGGCGGUCGGGGAUGGACUCGCGGCUUAUCAGCUUGUUGGUGGGGUAGUGGCUUACCAAGGCUUUGACGGGUAGCCGGCCUGAGAGGGUGACCGGCCACAUUGGGACUGAGAUACGGCCCAGACUCCUACGGGAGGCAGCAGUGGGGAAUAUUGCACAAUGGGCGGAAGCCUGAUGCAGCAACGCCGCGUGCGGGAUGACGGCCUUCGGGUUGUAAACCGCUUUCGCCUGUGACGAAGCGUGAGUGACGGUAAUGGGUAAAGAAGCACCGGCUAACUACGUG
RNAcentral lists this ribosomal RNA (468 nucleotides) under uncultured bacterium. RNAcentral describes it as "partial 16S ribosomal RNA". It matches the Rfam family "Bacterial small subunit ribosomal RNA", at positions 28 to 507 of the family's 1533-position model. The record is from RNAcentral.